CCCAAAUCACGCCGACAACAAAAUCCCCUUCUCUACUGUACUGUUCUCUCUACACGGCUGUGAUUUGGGUACGGUGGGCAAGGGAGAUCAUGGGAGGACGCAGCGGGCUGCUCGACCUCGUCAUGGCCGGCGCUGCCGUGGCGACGGUGCUGGAGGUUGGAGGCGUGGAGGCGGAGGAGGCAGUGACUGAGCUGACGAAGGGUACGCUGGUUCACGUAUUUCCCGGCGAAUUGGUGUGUGCUGCAGCGUCUUCCAAGCCAUUUCUGAUCGAGGAGGGGACCACUCUUUCGAGCAGCUGUUCUUGCGCUGUCCACCAACGAGAUCGCAUCUCACUGUCGCUGAUCUGGAAAGGCAGAUGUCGGUCGCCGGGGAGAUCAUGGGUGCAGGCAGUGAACUUUGGCGUUGAGUAGAACGGCCUGUCGUUCCUUGUCGCUUAUAGGAAGAGGAAGAGCAACAGCAUUUCCUUGGAUUUCUGCUGGAUCCACUGGAGAUUUGGAGCCAAGAAGGAUAUGUGGUGGCUAUAAUAAGCACUGGCGCGACUACACGGAGAAGCUGGCACUCGCGACCUGCGAAGCAGUACGCGAGGUGAACCGAGUAUCCUAGAGCCAGCAACCUGUGUGGAGCAGCGCAGCACACCAGGCAAAGCUGGAUGCCGCAAGUAGCAGUGCGGGGAGGAAAUUUUUAUAUCAAUACCUUUGGUCUCAAUUUCCCAGGGAGCAACUCACAUAAGUUGUACGGGUCCUGGAGGCUUGUACGUUAUCAUAUCUUAGAAGAGUUCUGAUGCAUUACCUGAUCUGGUGGGUUGUCAUUCCUAAUUCCAGGUGUUCGCAAGGAAGUUCCGAAGACAGCAUGGGAUGUGAAGAUUUGAGCAGACAUUAAGCAGUUAUAUUACCCAAAGUUGAUGGUGUUUCUGUCGUUCCUUCUUCGGGGCCUUCGAUGUGCUGGGCGUUCUGCCGUCCCCUUCGGUACGCAAGGCAUCCUACCCACCUUACUGGUCCAACUGAUCGUCCUCGGCGCGUGUGGAUGUUGUUGUGUCGAUCUGCCUUCAAUCUGCUGUACUCGUGUUGUGAUGUGUGACGGCGUGUGUUGAUUCCCUAGGUGUACCAUCUUGUAUGAUUCUCUCUUGUGGGUGUGGCUUAUGUUAGUCCAAAGAUUACCGAGUUUGCAUUAACUACGGAUGAGUGUAUUGCGUUAGGAAACCAAUUCA
Long non-coding RNA from Triticum aestivum (bread wheat), 1207 nucleotides. RefSeq lists it as uncharacterized. Lineage: Eukaryota; Viridiplantae; Streptophyta; Magnoliopsida; Poales; Poaceae. The transcript is spliced from 5 exons. The record is from RefSeq and is a predicted model, not a curated record.